GACGAACGCUGGCGGCGCGCCUAACACAUGCAAGUCGAACGGAGCUACCUUUUCGGAAGUUCUCGGAUGGAAGAGGAAGUAGCUUAGUGGCGAACGGGUGAGUAACACGUGAGGAACCUGCCUUAAAGAGGGGGACAACAGUUGGAAACGACUGCUAAUACCGCAUAAGCCCACGGUGCCGCAUGGCACAGGGGGAAAAGGAGAAAUCCGCUUUAAGAUGGACUCGCGUCCAAUUAGCUAGAUGGUGAGGUAAAGGCUCACCAUGGCGACGAUUGGUAGCCGGACUGAGAGGUUGAACGGCCACAUUGGGACUGAGACACGGCCCAGACUCCUACGGGAGGCAGCAGUGGGGAAUAUUGCACAAUGGGGGAAACCCUGAUGCAGCGACGCCGCGUGGAGGAAGAAGGUUUUCGGAUUGUAAACUCCUGUCUUCGGGGACGAUAAUGACGGUACCCGAGGAGGAAGCCACGGCUAACUACGUGCCAGCAGCCGCGGUAAAACGUAGGUGGCAAGCGUUGUCCGGAAUUACUGGGUGUAAAGGGAGCGCAGGCGGGUCGGUAAGUUGGGAGUGAAAACUAUGGGCUCAACCCAUAAAUUGCUUUCAAAACUGCUGAUCUUGAGUGGUGUAGAGGUAGGCGGAAUUCCCGGUGUAGCGGUGGAAUGCGUAGAUAUCGGGAGGAACACCAGUGGCGAAGGCGGCCUACUGGGCACUAACUGACGCUGAGGCUCGAAAGCAUGGGUAGCAAACAGG
RNAcentral lists this ribosomal RNA (751 nucleotides) under uncultured Oscillospiraceae bacterium. RNAcentral describes it as "bacterial SSU rRNA". It matches the Rfam family "Bacterial small subunit ribosomal RNA", at positions 28 to 776 of the family's 1533-position model. Lineage: Bacteria; Bacillati; Bacillota; Clostridia; Eubacteriales; Oscillospiraceae. The record is from RNAcentral.